Long non-coding RNA from Bombus terrestris (buff-tailed bumblebee), 351 nucleotides. RefSeq lists it as uncharacterized. The transcript is spliced from 2 exons. NCBI's taxonomy places the organism in Eukaryota, Metazoa, Arthropoda, Insecta, Hymenoptera, Apidae. The record is from RefSeq and is a predicted model, not a curated record.
GCUGUAUAAAUAACAGUUUUCAUUAAUAGCAUUAAGAAAUUCCACCAUAUGAUCUAACAUAAAUACGCAGAAGGAAGUUUUUUUCUUCUGCAAAACAUUGAGACGAAAAGCACACCGAAAGCUCGAACACCUGUAAAAUAGAACUGAACAAAAGUUGAUAGGGGCUAGAAGAAAUUAUAAUGUACAUGCUGCUUGCAAAGAUCAACGUGCAGAAGGUGCGUUUAACAACGAAGUGAAAGAACAUUUAUCGAUUUUACAAAGUAGUCUUGAUACCUGGAGGAGGAUAUGUCCAAUCCUCGCUCCAAACUCGGUGCCAAAAUUCGAAUAUGAGGGACCAUCAACGAGCUGCUU